Long non-coding RNA from Gallus gallus (chicken), 728 nucleotides. The record is from Ensembl. Lineage: Eukaryota; Metazoa; Chordata; Aves; Galliformes; Phasianidae.
AGUUUCUGUGCUGUCACCCCUUGCUCAUGCAGCUCACAGGGCAGCAGCUGCUGAGAAGCAAGAGGGAAGCUUUUCUGCCUGGGCUCCGGCUACAAAGAAGGCAAUGCUAAUUGCCCAGAGCAGACAGAGCUUGUGCUAGCUCGUGCUCAAGCUGUGGGAAAAGUCAGGUUUUUAUCCGUGCGCGAUUUUAUCCUAAUGGGACUGCUACUGGGAGAAUCCACUUAUCUUGCACCCACCUGUGACAAGCAUAAUCAGGAGACUGAGAUCACUGUGAAUUUGCACCAAAUGCAACAAGAAAGAGGGAACAGCUGCGACAAGGUUUUCUGAUGUGGAGUGAAAGGGCUUUGAAGCUGCUUUGUGUCCCCAGGUCUCCUUCUAUCUCACAUAAAAGAGAUGACUGCAAAUGCAGCACCUCAAAAGGAACUGGCUCUGAACUGCUCAUCACCUAGGGAAAAUGUACUAACAGGCUCUUGAGAACAAACUGCAGAGAGAAAUUGGCAACUGUAGAGCUGAUAAAACUAUGCAGGUACCAUGAGUAUGCUGGGGUUUGUAAAACAUGCUGUUUUUCAGAAAUUCCAGAAGAAAACUGCUGCAAAAUUGUGAUCCUUCUUUGUUACAUAUUGUACAUUUUAGGUCAACAGUGUACUCUGUAAUCCUUUCAUCCUGUGAAAAGACCCCAGAGAUUGAGUCAAUAGGCUUGGUUGGGAAUAAUACAGUUUCUCUGAUCC